Myotis lucifugus (little brown bat) is the source of this 105-nucleotide small nuclear RNA. Lineage: Eukaryota; Metazoa; Chordata; Mammalia; Chiroptera; Vespertilionidae. The record is from Ensembl.
GUGCUCGUUUUGGCAGCACAUACACUAAAAUUAGAAUGAUACACAGAAGAUUAGCAUGGCCCCUGUGCAAGGAUGACACAAAUUCGUGAAGCGUUUCAUAUUUUU